AUUGAACGCUGGCGGCAUGCUUUACACAUGCAAGUCGAACGGUAACAGGUUAAGCUGACGAGUGGCGAACGGGUGAGUAAUGCAUCGGAACGUGCCCGAUCGUGGGGGAUAACGCAGCGAAAGCUGCGCUAAUACCGCAUACGAUCUGAGGAUGAAAACGGGGGACCGUAAGGCCUCGCGCGAUCGGAGCGGCCGAUGUCAGAUUAGGUAGUUGGUGGGGUAAAGGCUCACCAAGCCGACGAUCUGUAGCUGGUCUGAGAGGACGACUAGCCACACUGGGACUGAGACACGGCCCAGACUCCUACGGGAGGCAGCAGUGGGGAAUUUUGGACAAUGGGCGAAAGCCUGAUCCAGCAAUGCCGCGUGCAGGAAGAAGGCCUUCGGGUUGUAAACUGCUUUUGUACGGAGCGAAAAGGCUCUCUCUAAUACAGGGGGCUCAUGACGGUACCGUAAGAAUAAGCACCGGCUAACUACGUGCCAGCAGCCGCCGUAA
Molecule: ribosomal RNA, 493 nt
Filed under: uncultured bacterium
Lineage: Bacteria
Description: partial 16S ribosomal RNA
Rfam family: Bacterial small subunit ribosomal RNA
Source: RNAcentral